UGUUUUUGUUUUUCUGUGGACAGGUUUUUAAUUUUAUAACUAAAUAGAGUGACAAUUACCAUGGCCCUCUCCAGAGUAGCGUAUUUCUUGUUCAUGUAUGUUUGUUGAGAGGCAAGGGUGGGGGGGCUUUGUUUGUGCCUCGGACCUGUGAGAUACUGAAAUACCUGGGGUUCCUUAAGAAUUCUGUACGUUUAAGCAGAUGGGUAUAUGGUAACUGCCCCAGUUUGUAUGCAUUUUGGCCACACACAGUAUACACAGAUUUUGAGGAGUUGAGGGAAAAGUUAGUUAUGGGUAAUGAAAAUAUUUUGGACUUGGGUUAAAUUUUUCCUUACAAGCUGGCUGGCUCAAUGUAAUGAGCUUUAUGAGAUGGCUUUUUGGGGCCUUUUUUUUUUUUUUGCCGGGGGUAGGUCCUAUGGAUGGAAUCUUCAUUUUUAAUUCUUUUAAGGAAAUGAUGUGGGAAUAAUACAGCUGUACAUAUAAGGAGAGUAUGGGAUGAGUCUUUUUGUAUCACAAAGCCUUGCAUAGAGGAUGUGUUUAUUUUAUUAAUGAGUUCACUGCAUAAAAUAUAUACCUUUUUUAUUAAGUGGUGUGAUUUUUAUCACAAAAGCUUGUCUUUCUUGGUGGCUUGGCUUGAGUUAAAAGCCUGUGUUUGUGUUAUCCCAAGCUUUGGAAUAAAUGAUUGUGUCCUAUUUUGAUAUAUGGUCUUAUUUUAAAAUAUUCUUUUUGUUGCUGUUUUUUUUGCAUUUCUCAAAACAAGUAGUGAUGGGGAGUGUAAAGAGCCCUUAUACACAAAACUAAUAAUGCAUUGAGAAGAUUGAAUAUGAAAUAUGCUUUUUUUUUGUUUUGUAGAGCCUUCCCCAAUUGUAAAUUUGCUGAAAAAUGUUUGUUUGUUCACCCAAAUUGUAAAUAUGAUGCAAAGUGUACUAAACCAGAUUGUCCCUUCACUCAUGUGAGUAGAAGAAUUCCAGUACUGUCUCCAAAACCAGGUGAGUGAGUGACUGUGCUACUACAUUUGGGUAAAAAAUAUAAAAUGGCAUUUUGUGACUGUAAAUGGAAUUGAACAAACAAAAGAUGGUUUCAGAAAUAAUUUUGGCAGGAUCAGUUAAUCCAACCAGUCUUUAAAGAGCAAGUGUGCCUAUCUGUAGUAUUCCGAAGUAUUUUGACUAGUGAAUAUAUAAACCUUACCAUUCUAAUUUAAAAAUGGUUUUCACUUUCAAAAAAAACAUCAGUAGACUGCAUUAAAAAUGGGUUUUCCAAACAGAUUGGAGAUCAGUCCUGGUUUUUAUUUUGUUAGCAGUUGCACCACCAGCACCACCUUCCAGUAGUCAGCUCUGCCGUUACUUCCCUGCUUGUAAGAAGAUGGAAUGUCCCUUCUAUCAUCCAAAACAUUGUAGGUUUAACACUCAGUGUACAAGACCGGACUGCACAUUCUACCAUCCCACCAUUAAUGUCCCACCACGACAUGCCUUGAAAUGGAUUCGACCUCAAACCAGCGAAUAGCACCCAGUCCUGCCUGGCAGAAGAUCAUGCAGUUUGGAAGUUUUCAUGUACUGAUGAAAGAUACUCUACAGAACUUGUCAAAUCUUUGAAACUUGGAAUAUAUUGCUUUCAUAAUAUGAAGUUUUAUUGCCUAUCUAUCUAUCUGAAGUGUCUAAUUUUUCAAGUUUGUAAGUUUAUUACGUGGUUUUAACAUUGGGUGUUUUUGUUUUGUUUUUACUAUGAAAAGACAGCUUAAGGAAGAGCUAAAUUCUGUUGAAAUAUUUGGGGCGCGUUUGUGCACCUGCUGUUGUGAGGCUCAGCAUAUGAAAUUGACAUCAUGGUUAGUCAUGGUACUGCAGCUUAGGGGGCUACACGGUUGCUGUGUGAGUGGAGAGAUGCAGUGAGGCAGUUGUCAUUAUUCUAAAAAUUGUACUACUUUCACUUUUCCCAAAGAUUAUAUAAUGUUCAUAAUCCACCAUGAAAACAGCAUUGGCCAAAGGUACUGAGGCUGCUUAAAAUAUUCAAUUCUGCUUUUUAAUUUUUAAGUGAAUUUAGUUUGAAAAGCAUGAUUAUACAGGCCUCUCAGGCUGAGUGCUACUUUGGUAAAGUUCCCAGUUUUCCUGCCUUCUGUGACAGGAUGAAUGAGGUGGGUAUGGACGGUGGAGGCAGCUGGAAUGGCAAGUGCAGAAAAUAGGAACAGUUCUAUACAGUGCUCUCAUUUACUAAUAACAUAAUGCCUUCUAAAUAAUUUUUUUGGGAAACUACAUUAUCACAAAAUUAUACAAAUUUUUUUACAAGUAUUUACAUACUGUAUCUGAAAACAGACUUUAAAGUCACAAGAUUAUAAAUGUACAUAUGUAUUCUCACAUUCUGAAAAAUAACAUUCUCAGAAUCCACAGAAAAUAUACUUAGUUACUACUGAAGAUAAUUUUUGAAAUGUAAAAAUUAGAUUUAAAUAGUAUAUUUUAAAUGACAGAACUAUAAUUACAGAGAUCAGAUCAGAUAGGUAAACUGCAAGAUAGAUAGGAUGAAACUUUUGGCCUACUGUAUUACUUACAGAGUUUUUUUGUGUGUGGUUUUUAAAACUGUUAAGGCAAGAAGUGUCAAAUGCUUUAGAGUUAAAUAACAGAUCACUGAUUUCAAAGACUUGGUGUAUAGUGUUAAAAAUUAAAGCUUAAAAGGUGGUUAGAAAAGUGGAUUAAUGCAAAAGGGGUAAUAAAGACUGCAACAUUCUCAGGACCAAAUUAAACUGCU
Molecule: small RNA, 2733 nt
Filed under: Pan troglodytes (chimpanzee)
Lineage: Eukaryota; Metazoa; Chordata; Mammalia; Primates; Hominidae
Description: retained intron
Source: RNAcentral